UAAGGAAUAUUGGUCAAUGGACGGAAGUCUGAACCAGCCAUGCCGCGUGGAGGAUGAAGGCCCUCUGGGUUGUAAACUUCUUUUAUUUGGGACGAAACACUCUUUAUCUAAAGAGCUUGACGGUACCAGAUGAAUAAGCACCGGCUAACUCCGUGCCAGCAGCCGCGGUAAUACGGAGGGUGCAAGCGUUAUCCGGAUUCACUGGGUUUCAAGGGUGCGUAGGCGGGUUUGUAAGUCCGUGGUGAAAUCUCCGAGCUUAACUUGGAAACUGCCAUUGAUACUAUCAGUCUUGAAUAUUGUGGAGGUCAGCGGAAUAUGUCAUGUAGCGGUGAAAUGCUUAGAUAUGACAUAGAACACCAAUUGCGAAGGCAGGUUACUACUUGUGGAUUGACGCUGAUGGACGAAAGCGUGGGGAGCGAACA
This 422-nucleotide ribosomal RNA is filed under the name uncultured bacterium. RNAcentral's name for it is "bacterial SSU rRNA". It matches the Rfam family "Bacterial small subunit ribosomal RNA", at positions 355 to 774 of the family's 1533-position model. The record is from RNAcentral.